UACGUAGGGUGCGAGCGUUAAUCGGAAUUACUGGGCGUAAAGCGUGCGCAGGCGGUUUUGUAAGCCAGAUGUGAAAUCCCCGGGCUCAACCUGGGAAUGGCAUUUGGGACUGCAAGGCUGGAGUUUGGCAGAGGAGACUGGAAUUCCCGGUGUAGCAGUGAAAUGCGUAGAUAUCGGGAGGAAUACCGAUGGCGAAGGCAGGUCUCUGGGCCGAUACUGACGCUGAGGAGCGAAAGCGUGGGGAGCGAACAGG
This 253-nucleotide ribosomal RNA is filed under the name uncultured bacterium. Its description in RNAcentral is "partial 16S ribosomal RNA". It matches the Rfam family "Bacterial small subunit ribosomal RNA", at positions 524 to 776 of the family's 1533-position model. The record is from RNAcentral.